RNAcentral lists this small RNA (724 nucleotides) under Pongo abelii (Sumatran orangutan). RNAcentral's name for it is "retained intron". The record is from RNAcentral. Lineage: Eukaryota; Metazoa; Chordata; Mammalia; Primates; Hominidae.
AACUGGUGCGGGAGGAGGUGACCUUCAUCUAUCAGAAGCUCCAGGCGCAGGAGGAUGAGAUCUCAGAGAACCUGGUGAACAUUCAGAAAAUGCAGAAAACGCAGGUGAAAUGCCGCAAAAUCCUGACCAAGAUGAAGCAGCAGGGUCACGAGACAACUGCCCGGCCGGAGACUGAAGAGAUACCGCAGGGAGCCAGUGGCUGCUGGAAGGAUGACCUCCAGAAGGAACUGAGUGAUAUAUGGUGAUGCCCAGCCCACAGUCUGACCCCUGACCCUCCUCUGAACCCCUUCCCCCAACGGGAUCUGGCAGCGACCACCAGAACCUGGAGCCCACCUGAGUCCAGACCUCCCUCACCCCCUAGGACUCACCCCCACCACGGCCCCCAACCUUAGCCCUACUGCUGUCCACACCCUGAGCAAUGUGGAGUCUCCCAGCUCCUCAUCUUCCUGCAGGUCUGCUGUGCACGUGCUGCAGAACUCCAUAGACAGCCUCACCAUGUGCUCGGGGGCCGCUCUCAAGGCCUCGAGCCUAAGAGGCCACAAGGGGCACUGGUGUCUGAGCCCUCCACUCCCCUCCUGGGACUCUGACUCCGACUCUGACCAGGACCUCUCCCAGCCACCUUUCAGCAAGAGCGGCAACUCCUUCCCAGCUGCUUGAGCAGCCGGGACUGCUCUCCCUGAAGACCCCUCCAGAGAGAAAAUAAACUAGCCGAGACCCUCCUCUA